GACGAACGCUGGCGGCGUGCUUAACACAUGCAAGUCGAACGGAAAGGCCCUGCUUUUGUGGGGUGCUCGAGUGGCGAACGGGUGAGUAACACGUGAGUAACCUGCCCUUGACUUUGGGAUAACUUCAGGAAACUGGGGCUAAUACCGGAUAGGAGCUCCUGCUGCAUGGGGGGGGUUGGAACGUUUCGGCGGUUGGGGAUGGACUCGCGGCUUAUCAGCUUGUUGGUGGGGUAGUGGCUUACCCAGGCUUUGACGGGUAGCCGGCCUGAGAGGGUGACCGGCCACAUUGGGACUAAGAUACGGCCCAGACUCCUACGGGAGGCAGCAGUGGGGAAUAUUGCACAAUGGGCGGAAGCCUGAUGCAGCAACGCCGCGUGCGGGAUGACGGCCUUCGGGUUGUAAACCGCUUUCGCCUGUGACGAAGCGUGAGUGACGGUAAUGGGUAAAGAAGCACCGGCUAACUACGUG
Molecule: ribosomal RNA, 468 nt
Filed under: uncultured bacterium
Lineage: Bacteria
Description: partial 16S ribosomal RNA
Rfam family: Bacterial small subunit ribosomal RNA
Source: RNAcentral